UUGUUGGUGAAAGCUUUUGUCAAAUCUACCCAAGAGUCGAUUGACUUAGGUUUGAGAGACUCGAGCCAUGUCAGCGGUGCGAGUUCCAUGCAUAUGGGAAAGUGGAUGACUUUGGUGUCGUUAUUGCCCCCGACUGCUUGGACUGCUAGCGAGUAGCAUUGUAGCCAUUGAAUUGGGUCUUGCUUGCCAUCAUACUUGGUGAUUCCUGUUGGCUUGAACUUCUCGGGUAGUCUUGUCUUCAUUACCC
Molecule: long non-coding RNA, 247 nt
Filed under: Setaria italica (foxtail millet)
Lineage: Eukaryota; Viridiplantae; Streptophyta; Magnoliopsida; Poales; Poaceae
Description: long non-coding RNA (SITA_LNC003055)
Source: RNAcentral